This 83-nucleotide transfer RNA is filed under the name Coemansia sp. RSA 25. Its description in RNAcentral is "tRNA-Tyr". It matches the Rfam family "tRNA". Rfam says of the family: Transfer RNA (tRNA) molecules are approximately 80 nucleotides in length. Their secondary structure includes four short double-helical elements and three loops (D, anti-codon, and T loops). RNAcentral also lists the same sequence under 2 other names. Lineage: Eukaryota; Fungi; Kickxellomycota; Kickxellomycetes; Kickxellales; Kickxellaceae. The record is from RNAcentral.
CCGAAAAUAGCUCAGCGGUAGAGCGGGAGACUGUAGUGGAAAUUGUAAUCUCUAGGUCCCUGGUUCAAAUCCGGGUUUUCGGA